ACCAUAUUUGAAAGUUCUUGUUUAUCUUCAACAGAAACCGUAAGAUCUUGAAAGUGAUUCAAAUCUGAAAACUGUUUUUUCUCUUAAAAACUAUGAAAAGUUGACUUCUGUCAACAGAGAAAAGAAUAGUAAAGCUCACUUUAAAAAAGGUUGCUAAACUAGGAAGGUAUGGGUGCUGGGGUGUAAUGGUAAAUUGCCUCUCUUUCCUGUAGACAUGAUUGUUUUUAUCUUCAGGCAGAAAGGACAAAAGUGCCAUUGUUUUCAAAAUACUUUUAGCCUGGUAAAGUGUUACUUGAUGGGUUUUAUAUGUAGCUCAUUCUUAAUCUUCUUUCCUCUUGUUUAACUUCUGUUGGUAUGUAAACAAAAUUUUACUGGUUUUAGAAUGUCCUAUGAAAGAGUUAUAUUAGAAUGUGCAUAAGAAAGAGUUACGUUUGGUAAGAUUUGGCUCUGACAGUAUACCUC
This 462-nucleotide long non-coding RNA is filed under the name Bos taurus (domestic cattle). RNAcentral describes it as "long non-coding RNA NONBTAT019500". Lineage: Eukaryota; Metazoa; Chordata; Mammalia; Artiodactyla; Bovidae. The record is from RNAcentral.